CAUGAUCAUUUACAAGUUUUCUACAAUUAAUAUCUCGAUAAUUAUUGCGAAUAUCGCAAAACGGUAUAGGACUUUUAUGUUCACCUCAACCUCUUCUACGUCACCACAAAAUGCCUGGAAGAGAGUGUGAGAUACCCUGUAUAACCGGUAAAUUCUCAAGAUCAACGAAAAGAUCGGCAUAGAAUAUGAUGCGUAAAACAACAGCAAAGUCUUAUGGAAAGGAUAUUACACUGAGCACAAACUGGUUUCUGCAACAUGGCGAUAAUGAACUUUACACUGUGGAAACGAAUAUUGAUGAGAUUUUAGUAGAUUAUAAAAACGAAACGCAGAAGAGAGAAUCGUCAUUCCAUAUCCACUCUUCCAAAAUAAUUAAAAGCAUCGGAGAAAAUCUCAGAUAUAUUCAAGAGAAAUAGAAGAAACUGCGAUUGUAGAAGAUAUUCAGAUUUUCUCACAGAGCACAAUGAAGAUACUCUUUAACAUUUGCUUGAUCAUGGUGUUGACAAUUAUAGCGAUACCAAUGGGAACAUCACAACCUGCAUCGCCGCCACGUCCUGUUACUCAUGUGUCAACUUAUCCCAGGCCUACUUAUCCCAGGCCUACUUAUACCAGGCCUACUUAUCCCAGCACUGCUUAUCCCACGUAUACUACUCCCACAUAUACUUAUCCCAGCCCUACUUCUCCCAGCCCCGUUGGUACUAUCGUAGGUGUUCGUGAAAGAGCCACUACUUGUCCUACAAACUUUCGGAAAGAUACAAAUGGAAUGUGUCGUGAGAUGUAACAAUAUUACAUGCAUGUUGGUGUAAAAUACAGGUUCCAAUAAUAUUUCUAUACAACAACUGCGAAGUAAUAAACUCGAAGUAAUGGAAUAAGACAAGAAAUG
Molecule: long non-coding RNA, 880 nt
Organism: Odontomachus brunneus
Lineage: Eukaryota; Metazoa; Arthropoda; Insecta; Hymenoptera; Formicidae
Exons: 3
Source: RefSeq, a predicted model, not a curated record